GACGAACGCUGGCGGCGUGCUUAACACAUGCAAGUCGAACGGAAAGGCCCUUCGGUGUACUCGUGUGGCGAACGGGAGCGUAACACGUGGAUGAUCUGCCCUGCACUUUGGGAUAAGCCUGGGUUACUGGGACUAAUACCGAAUAGGACUACGAGCUUCAUGUUGUGUGGUGGAAAGCGUUUGCGGUGUGGGAUGGGCCCGCGGCCUAUCAGCUUGUUGGUGGGGUAAUGGCCUACCAAGGCGACGACGGGUAGCCGGCCUGAGAGGGUGACCGGCCACACUGGGACUGAGAUACGGCCCAGACUCCUACGGGAGGCAGCAGUGGGGAAUAUUGCACAAUGGGCGCAAGCCUGAUGCAGCGACGCCGCGUGAGGGAUGACGGCCUUCGGGUUGUAAACCGCUUUCAAUAGGGACGAAGCGCAAGUGACGGUACCUAGAGAAGAAGCACCGGCCAACUACGUG
RNAcentral lists this ribosomal RNA (462 nucleotides) under uncultured bacterium. Its description in RNAcentral is "partial 16S ribosomal RNA". It matches the Rfam family "Bacterial small subunit ribosomal RNA", at positions 28 to 507 of the family's 1533-position model. The record is from RNAcentral.